AGAACGAACGCUGGCGGCAUGCCUAACACAUGCAAGUCGAACGAGACCUUCGGGUCUAGUGGCGCACGGGUGCGUAACGCGUGGGAAUCUGCCCUUAGGUUCGGAAUAACAGUUAGAAAUGACUGCUAAUACCGGAUAAUGUCUUCGGACCAAAGAUUUAUUGCCUAAGGAUGAGCCCGCGUAAGAUUAGCUUGUUGGUGAGGUAAAGGCUCACCAAGGCGACGAUCUUUAGCUGGUCUGAGAGGAUGAUCGGCCACACUGGGACUGAGACACGGCCCAGACUCCUACGGGAGGCAGCAGUGGGGAAUAUUGGACAAUGGGCGAAAGCCUGAUCCAGCAAUGCCGCGUGAGUGAUGAAGGCUUAGGUUGUAAAGCUCUUUACCCGGGAAGAUAAUGACAGUACCGGAGAAUAAGCCCCGGCUAACUCCGCGCCAGCAGCCGC
This 442-nucleotide ribosomal RNA is filed under the name uncultured soil bacterium. RNAcentral describes it as "bacterial SSU rRNA". It matches the Rfam family "Bacterial small subunit ribosomal RNA", at positions 26 to 518 of the family's 1533-position model. The record is from RNAcentral.